AACAAGGAUUCCCUUAGUAACUGCGAGUGAAGAGGGAAAAGCUCAAAUUUAAAAUCUGACAGUGUUUUGCUGUCCGAGUUGUAACCUAGAGAAGUGUAACCUGUGCUGGACCAUGUACAAGUCUCCUGGAAUGGAGCAUCGCAGAGGGUGAGAAUCCCGUSUUUGACAUGGACUACCAGUGCAUUGUGGUUGUGCUCUCAACGAGUCGAGUUGUUUGGGAAUGCAGCUCUAAAUGGGUGGUAAAUUCCAUCUAAAGCUAAAUAUUGGCGAGAGACCGAUAGCGAACAAGUACCGUGAGGGAAAGAUGAAAAGAACUUUGGAAAGAGAGUUAAACAGUAUGUGAAAUUGUUGAAAGGGAAACGUUUGAAGUCAGUCAUGUUGGGUGGGGAUCAGCCUGGCAGAUUGUUGGGUGUACUUCCUGGUUGACGGGCCAACAUCAGUUUUGACUGCCAGAGAAAGGCGAAGGGAAUGUGGCACCUUUGGGUGUGUUAUAGCUCUUUGUCGUAUGUGGUGGUUGGGACUGAGGAAAGCAGUGCGCCGAAAGGCAGGGUUUCGACCACAUUCGCACUGAGGAUGUUGGCAUAAUGGCUUUAAGCGACCCGUCUUGAAACACGGACCAAGGAGUCUAACAUGCAUGCGAGUGUUUGGGUGGAAAACUCUUACGCGGAAUGAAAGUGAAAGUUGAGAACCCUGUCGUGGGGAGCAUCGACGCCCGGACCAGAACUUUUGGGACGGAUCUGCGGUAGAGCACGUAUGUUGGGACCCGAAAGAUGGUGAACUAUGCCUGAAUAGGGUGAAGCCAGAGGAAACUCUGGUGGAGGCUCGUAGCGAUUCUGACGUGCAAAUCGAUCGUCAAAUUUGGGUAUAGGGGCGAAAGACUAA
RNAcentral lists this ribosomal RNA (882 nucleotides) under Amanita aff. lavendula 1 KWH-2017. Its description in RNAcentral is "LSU rRNA". It matches the Rfam family "Eukaryotic large subunit ribosomal RNA", at positions 67 to 934 of the family's 3401-position model. The record is from RNAcentral. Lineage: Eukaryota; Fungi; Basidiomycota; Agaricomycetes; Agaricales; Amanitaceae. RNAcentral also lists the same sequence under 1 other name.